GAUGAACGCUGGCGGCGUGCCUAAUACAUGCAAGUCGAGCGAACAGACGAGGAGCUUGCUCCUCUGACGUUAGCGGCGGACGGGUGAGUAACACGUGGAUAACCUACCUAUAAGACUGGGAUAACUUCGGGAAACCGGAGCUAAUACCGGAUAAUAUCUUGAACCGCAUGGUUCAAUAGUUAAAGACGGUUUUGCUGUCACUUAUAGAUGGAUCUGCGCCGCAUUAGCUAGUUGGUAAGGUAACGGCUUACCAAGGCAACGAUGCGUAGCCGACCUGAGAGGGUGAUAGGCCACACUGGAACUGAGACACGGUCCAGACUCCUACGGGAGGCAGCAGUAGGGAAUCUUCCGCAAUGGGCGAAAGCCUGACGGAGCAACGCCGCGUGAGUGAUGAAGGUCUUCGGAUCGUAAAACUCUGUUAUUAGGGAAGAACAAAUGUGUAAGUAACUAUGCACGUCUUGACGGUACCUAAUCAGAAAGCCACGGCUAACUACGUG
Molecule: ribosomal RNA, 497 nt
Filed under: uncultured bacterium
Lineage: Bacteria
Description: partial 16S ribosomal RNA
Rfam family: Bacterial small subunit ribosomal RNA
Source: RNAcentral